GACGAACGCUGGCGGCGUGCUUAACACAUGCAAGUCGAACGAAGAGCGCUUGAAGCUUGCUUCUACCCAUCUUAGUGGCGAACGGGUGAGUAACGCGUAAUCAACCUGCCCUUCAGGGGGGGACUACAGUUGCAAACGACUGCUAAUACUGCAUACUCUCUCAUCUCGGCAUCGAGGAUAGAUGAACGGUGGCCUCUACAUGUAAGCUAUCACUUCAGGAUGGGAUUGGGGCAGUUUAGUUAGUUGGCGUGGUUGAGGCCCAGCAAGGCGAUGAUGAGUAGCAGGACGGCGAUGAUGAGCGGCCGCAUUGGGACGGAGACAGGGCCCAGAGUGCUACGGGAGGGAGCAGUACGGAAUCGUGCGGAAUGGACGAGAGUCUGACGGCGCAGCGCCGCGGGAGGGAUGAGGACCGCCGCGUGGUAGAGCUCGGUUAUCCGGGACGAAAGGCCUUCUUGCGAAGAGUAAGAAGGAUUGACGGUACCGGAAUAGAAAGCCACGGCUAACUACGUG
RNAcentral lists this ribosomal RNA (510 nucleotides) under uncultured bacterium. RNAcentral's name for it is "partial 16S ribosomal RNA". It matches the Rfam family "Bacterial small subunit ribosomal RNA", at positions 28 to 507 of the family's 1533-position model. The record is from RNAcentral.